GGCUAACGCUGGCGGCGUGUCUUAGCCAUGCAAGUCGAGCGGACUUAUGGGGUAACUUAUAAGUCAGCGGCGGACGGCGGAGUAACACGUAGCUAACCUACCCUCUGGACGGGGAUAACCUACCGAAAGGUGGGCUAAUACCCGAUGUAGUCAUCCUGUAUAGGGGUGAUGAAAGGUGGGCUUCUGUUUACAAGCUCAUGCUGGAGGAGGGGGCUGCGGCCUAUCAGGUAGUUGGUAGGGUAAUAGCCUACCAAGCCGAUGACGGGUAGCCGGCCUGAGAGGGUGACCGGCCCGAGGGGCACUGAGAUACGGGUCCCACUCCUACGGGAGGCAGCAGUGGGGAAUCUUGGGCAAUGGGGGAAACCCUGACCCAGCGACGCCGCGUGAGGGACGAAAUCCUUUGGGAUGUAAACCUCUGUUGUGCGGGACGAAGGACGUGACGGUACCGCACGAGGAAGCCCCGGCAAACUACGUGCCAGCAGCCGCGGUAAGCAUACUCGUA
Molecule: ribosomal RNA, 502 nt
Filed under: uncultured bacterium
Lineage: Bacteria
Description: bacterial SSU rRNA
Rfam family: Bacterial small subunit ribosomal RNA
Source: RNAcentral